CCCAUGGCCUAAUGGAUAAGG
Molecule: non-coding RNA, 21 nt
Filed under: Arabidopsis thaliana (thale cress)
Lineage: Eukaryota; Viridiplantae; Streptophyta; Magnoliopsida; Brassicales; Brassicaceae
Source: RNAcentral